GGCCCUGGAGACCCGGAGGCUGGGUUCGAUGGCUGCUUGGCUGGUUUCUGGGCAUCCCACGGCCGGGCCGAUCUUAGUCUUUGGAGGCUGUGGCGGGAGUCGUGGCGGCUAAGGGAAGAGGGACCCCAAACGGCUUAGGCGCUUUCCUUUUCCCCACUUGAGCCUUAGCCUUGCCCAAAUUGCCUUUUUCCGGUAGGACUGACUUUAUCUGCCUGGCCUCUCUCAGCUGCCAACCUUACCCGAAAUCUAGACCCCAGACCUGAUUUCAUUUCUGCAUCCUUCUUGCUGGAGUUUGAAAACACAUUAAUGUGAUACCAGGGAUUGAACUCUGGAACUCAGGACCUUGCACUUGCGAGGCAGGUGUGGUGCCGCUGAGCCUGUGAUUUUAUCAUGUUUGGUGGAAUAUGUAUAUUCUGGUCCUUUGAAGAAAUUUUUGACUUGCAAAUGUCAUACAGCAACCAUGACCAUUGCUUUGAU
Non-coding RNA from Heterocephalus glaber (naked mole-rat), 477 nucleotides. The record is from RefSeq and is a predicted model, not a curated record. Lineage: Eukaryota; Metazoa; Chordata; Mammalia; Rodentia; Bathyergidae.